Molecule: ribosomal RNA, 377 nt
Filed under: uncultured bacterium
Lineage: Bacteria
Description: bacterial SSU rRNA
Rfam family: Bacterial small subunit ribosomal RNA
Source: RNAcentral
AUACGUAGGUGGCAAGCGUUGUCCGGAUUUACUGGGCGUAAAGAGUAUGUAGGCGGAUAUUUAAGUCAGAUGUGAAAUUCCCGGGCUUAACCUGGGCGCUGCAUUUGAUACUGGAUAUCUAGAGUGUGGGAGAGGAAAGCGGAAUUCCUAGUGUAGCGGUGAAAUGCGUAGAGAUUAGGAAGAACACCAGUGGCGAAGGCGGCUUUCUGGACCAUAACUGACGCUGAGAUACGAAAGCGUGGGGAGCAAACAGGAUUAGAUACCCUGGUAGUCCACGCCGUAAACGGUGAAUACUAGGUGUCGGGGGUAUUACCACCUUCGGUGCCGCAGCAAACGCAGUAAGUAUUCCGCCUGGGGAGUACGGCCGCAAGGCUGAA